CCUACGGGUGGCAGCAGUGAGGAAUAUUGGUCAAUGGACGCAAGUCUGAACCAGCCAUGUCGCGUGCAGGAUGACGGCUCUAUGAGUUGUAAACUUCUUUUAUACGGGGGUAAAUCACGGUACGUAUAUCCGGUUGUAAGUAACGUACGAAUAAGGAUCGGCUGACUCCGUGCCAGCAGCCGCGGUAAUACGGAGGAUUCAAGCGUUAUCCGGAUUUAUUGGGUUUAAAGGGAGCGUAGGGGGUUUGAUAAGUUAGAGGUGAAAUCCUGGGGCUCAACCCCGGCACUGCCGUUGAUACUGUCGGUCUUGAGUUGAGUUGAGGUAGGCGGAAUGCGUGGUGUAGCGGUGAAAUGCAUAGAGAUCACACAGAACUCCGAUUGCGAAGGCAGCUUACUGGACUACGACUGACGUUGAUGCACGAAAGCGUGGGGAUCAAACAGGAUUAGAUACCCUUGUAGUC
This 460-nucleotide ribosomal RNA is filed under the name uncultured bacterium. RNAcentral describes it as "partial 16S ribosomal RNA". It matches the Rfam family "Bacterial small subunit ribosomal RNA", at positions 338 to 795 of the family's 1533-position model. The record is from RNAcentral.